ACAUUCACUUACAGUUCGUAACAAACCUGAUGAACUAGCAGUGAGUGAGACACAAGCGUCGAGGGAGACAGAUGCUUCCGCCCUCCGGCCUCACAGCUCCAGUGUGAUAAUCUGCUGUUCUCAACGUUUUUCCCGCUAAGUCACACAUGAAAGAAGAUGUGCACUCUGAGGACGGGCUCCCAUGUGUGCUUCUCGGUGCAUCGGCGUCUCCAUGACCCGCUCCCUCCCCCUCCGCAAAAACUCAUCAGGAUGCAAGUGAGUGCAAGACAUGUUUUUACAGUACAGGGAGUCCCUCUGCCCAUCACGGCCACCCAGCGACCCUGCCGGCCAAGAUGCUGUCUCCAAACAGCUCACGCAGUCUCGCAGAGCUGGGGUAAUGAAGUCCCCAUCACCAAUCACAAGCUCGUUCUUCAUGUUUUUGCCGUGGAAUGACACACAUCACUUUUGUUCCCAUUUCAUGACCAAGUGACACCAUUCUCGAAGCUGGCACCUCUGCUAGAGAAGAGAGAGGGGACGCGCCACAUGGCGAGGGGAUGUGACAUAUCCGCCACGUUCUUGGAAGGAGCGGAAUGUACCACACAAGGGCCGACUCCAGAUCUGAUCUGGAAGGAAGGAGGUCAUUGACCGAAAACAAAGAUGUUGGAGAAGAUGUUGAAGGUUGAGACGAGAGGAGAAGGGAUCUUUAGCUGUGUACAUGAAAGGUGGAGAACUGGAUCUUUUGUCCUCCGGAGAAAAUUUUAAAUGCAGCAAUGUAAAUGUUUCGAGAAUGAACGACUCACUUCAAACUUUUAUGCCUGCCUGUUUGCCUUGCAUCAUCUUCCCCUACCCCAACUCCUUUCCCUCCCUCCCGCUCUCCCUUCCUUCAUCCCUCCCUUCUUUCCAAAAGCACUUGUGAGUGUCUCCUAGGUAGCUAAUACAGUUGGCCCUUGAACUCACAGUGUGAGUCCACUUAACACGCGGGUGUUUUUCAAUAAAUAUAUUGGGAAAUUUG
Long non-coding RNA from Herpailurus yagouaroundi (jaguarundi), 991 nucleotides. RefSeq lists it as uncharacterized. The transcript has 5 exons. Lineage: Eukaryota; Metazoa; Chordata; Mammalia; Carnivora; Felidae. The record is from RefSeq and is a predicted model, not a curated record.